CUUAACCUAGACCCUUCAACACCAACACCUCUAAGUAUUAGCCGUUUCAUACAAAAAGAGUGCUAACACAUACACAUGACACCCUCACCAAACGGACGAGAUCCUUUCUUCUUCACCUUAUCUCCAUCUCGUACACACCCAAAGAAAACUUCUGCCAUCUAACCUCUAACUCCCUAAGCUAAGAAAUAGGAGACCUUUGAAUUCCUACGAAAACAAAAAGAACACAACCUAAUUCCUAAGCUAAUGAACAGCGACAAAACCCCAAAAUUCCCCAAUUUUCUUUCACUUUGGACAAAAGAGAAUCAGCCACACAAAUGGCUGAAGAUCUAAUAGCCGCAUGCCCCAGUUAAAAAUAUGGAGCUGCCUCCUUGGAGCUCUCUGAAGUCUGAUCUCUUUCUCUCAAUCAUUUCGCUGGCUAGAUUUUUGCCGGAAAAUCUGUUCCGGCGACCCUCCAUUGAAUUCGGCUAAACAGAGCUCAAACCCAGCAGUAAACCCAGCUCCAAAAACGCCCUAAAACUACCCAAAUUAGUGUGAAAAGCAGCCCGAAAUCGUCGUCCAACUCUGUCGAUUUGAAUCGUUCGAGGUUGUUGAUUCUGGUCGAGGCUCUAAGUCCCUAGCUCGAUUGAAGAUUGAUGUUUGUGGUAUUUCUUUUCCUGUGUAAUUGUUUGCAAUUUUGAGCAAUAAAGGCCCGUCUCUAUCCUGUUCACUUCAUCUGAAUGUUUGGACUUUAACUUUACUACUUUAGAAUUUUAAAGUAGAUUUGUUAUCGGUUUAUUGUUUGGAUCUAUUGCUUUAAUUUCUUGACUCGUGAAUAAAUCUUAUCUUAGCUAUUAGUAUUUUAGUUUGUUUAAUAAAAAUUAAAUUCCUUCUUAAGGUAAAAAUUGAAGUACUCACCAAUUAUAGAGGAGUUGGAUUAAGAAAGGCAAAAGGAAUUGGUUUCUUAUCAUCUUUAGAAGCAGUAUAGAAGCCUUGAUAGACACGUAACGAAACACAUUUUUCAGUUUAUUUCUCAAAAUAUUUCACUGUCAUCAAAUAACUAACUAUUUAUAUUUAUUUAUUUAUUUUGGAUUUCCUCUGGACAUGAUUUUGUUCUAAUCUGUGUUUGUUUCCUUAUUUUUUUCAAGGUGUUUCGAGUUUAUUUUAGCUGUGUCACAUUGUUAAUAUGUCUAUAUUUGGUCAUUUAUUUAAUAUCAUGGAAGCUUUUAGAAAUAGUAGUUCAUCGUGGCCUUAGUUCAUAAAUGUGCUAGUUGAUUCAUAUAAUCUUUAACUUAGAAAAAUAAUUAAAAUUCGCUAGUUGCUUUAAGCGUGGUUAAUAAUAAAUCAUCGUAACUAUGGGUACAGUUCCCGUAACAUAGUCAUGAUACAUAACCUUAAUUCGAGUGCUUGUUUCACGUGACUUGACUAUAACAUCAAAUAAUAAUAAAAUAAAUAUAUCGCAAAUUGUUGGUUCAUUUUAUGUAGCGUGGUUUGCAAUGUGUUCCAAAACGGCAAGUGUAUGACAAUCGUGACUCGUUCCAGAAAUAACUCCAUUAAUAAUUGAAAGCAGUUUAAAAAUUUAAAGAUGCACAAUAGGUUUAGAUGUAACGACCUGACCGGUUGUUUUAAGCUUUUGCAUUUUAAUCGCUAGUUCUCGGACAUGACUUGUCCCGUUUAAUGUAUUAUGAUUAAUGUAGACCAUUGGUUUUGGUUUUCAGGAAAAUUUGGAAUGAAUUUGAAAGAACAGUCUCAGCUGAAAGCUUUGAAUUUGAAAGGUUUGACCAAGCUUUGACUUAUUCG
Molecule: long non-coding RNA, 1776 nt
Filed under: Nicotiana benthamiana
Lineage: Eukaryota; Viridiplantae; Streptophyta; Magnoliopsida; Solanales; Solanaceae
Description: long non-coding RNA (NBEN_LNC003760)
Source: RNAcentral